This 207-nucleotide ribosomal RNA is filed under the name uncultured bacterium. RNAcentral describes it as "partial 16S ribosomal RNA". It matches the Rfam family "Bacterial small subunit ribosomal RNA", at positions 568 to 774 of the family's 1533-position model. The record is from RNAcentral.
CAUGCAGGUGGUUUCGUUAGUCGGAUAUGAAAGCCUCUGGCUUAACUAGAGGAGGUCGUUCGAUACUGCGAAACUAGAGGUCGGGAGAGGAAAGCGGAAUUCCCGGUGUAGUGGUGGAAUGCGUAGAUAUCGGGAGGAACACCAGUGGCGAAGGCGGCUUUCUGGCCCGCACCUGACACUAAGAUGCGAAAGCGUGGGUAGCGAACG